CUCCAGAUUUUGUGGAAGACUACAACUUCAAAUACAGUAAGAUCUUUGCCAUUCAGCAUUUUGGGACUAACUUGAGCAAGUUGAGCAAAAUUAAAAACAAUCUUCCUAACAUAUUCAAUGUGCCACGCAUGAGGUGGCACAUCAUACAGAUGUAGUAGAGCAUGAACCUACAAAUGACAAGGGGCCGCAUUUUUGCAGGAC
RNAcentral lists this long non-coding RNA (201 nucleotides) under Elaeis guineensis (African oil palm). RNAcentral's name for it is "long non-coding RNA (EGUI_LNC009065)". The record is from RNAcentral. Lineage: Eukaryota; Viridiplantae; Streptophyta; Magnoliopsida; Arecales; Arecaceae.